AAGGUAGUGUAGUUAUAGCUGCAUUAUUUGACGUUAGCGACAGAAGAAGCACCGGCUAACUCCGUGCCAGCAGCCGCGGUAAUACGGAGGGUGCGAGCGUUAAUCGGAAUUACUGGGCGUAAAGCGCAUGCAGGUGGUUUGUUAAGUUCAGAUGUGAAAGACCCGGGGCGUCAACCUCGGAAUAGCAUUUGAAACUGGCAGACUAGAGUACUGUAGAGGGGGGUAGGAAUUUCAGGUGUAGCGGUGAAAUGCGUAGAGAUCUGAAGGAAUACCGGUGGCGAAGGCGGCCCCCUCGGACAGAUACUGACACUCAGAUGCGAAAGCGUGGGGAGCAAACAGGAUUAGAUACCCUGGUAG
RNAcentral lists this ribosomal RNA (357 nucleotides) under uncultured bacterium. RNAcentral describes it as "bacterial SSU rRNA". It matches the Rfam family "Bacterial small subunit ribosomal RNA", at positions 444 to 793 of the family's 1533-position model. The record is from RNAcentral.